GCAUAUCAAUAAGCGGAGGAAAAGAAACCAACAGGGAUUGCCCCAGUAACGGCGAGUGAAGCGGCAAGAGCUCAAAUUUGAAAUCUGGCCUCCCCCGGGGGCCCGAGUUGUAAUUUGCAGAGGAUGCUUCGGGUGCGGCCGCCGUCUAAGUUCCUUGGAACAGGACGUCAGAGAGGGUGAGAAUCCCGUCUUGGGCGGGCGGUCCGCGCCCGUGUGAAGCUCCUUCGACGAGUCGAGUUGUUUGGGAAUGCAGCUCUAAGCGGGUGGUAAAUUUCAUCUAAAGCUAAAUAUUGGCCGGAGACCGAUAGCGCACAAGUAGAGUGAUCGAAAGGUUAAAAGCACCUUGAAAAGGGAGUUAAACAGCACGUGAAAUUGUUGAAAGGGAAGCGCUUGCGGCCAGACUCGGGGGCGGGGUUCAGCGGGUGCUCGUCGCCCGUGUACUCCUCGUCUCCCGGGCCAGCAUCAGUUUCGACGGCCGGUCAAAGGCCCCCGGAAUGUGUCGUCUCUCGGGACGUCUUAUAGCCGGGGGUGCAAUGCGGCCCGUCGGGACUGAGGAACGCGCUCCGGCUCGGAUGCUGGCGUAAUGGCCGUAAGCGGCCCGUCUUGAAACACGGACC
Molecule: ribosomal RNA, 617 nt
Filed under: Trichophyton interdigitale
Lineage: Eukaryota; Fungi; Ascomycota; Eurotiomycetes; Onygenales; Arthrodermataceae
Also listed under: 1 other name
Description: LSU rRNA
Rfam family: Eukaryotic large subunit ribosomal RNA
Source: RNAcentral